This 374-nucleotide ribosomal RNA is filed under the name uncultured organism. Its description in RNAcentral is "partial 16S ribosomal RNA". It matches the Rfam family "Bacterial small subunit ribosomal RNA", at positions 526 to 896 of the family's 1533-position model. The record is from RNAcentral.
GUAGGGGUGCGAGCGUUAUCCGGAUUUACUGGGCGUAAAGGGGUUGCGUAGGCGGUCUAUUAAGUCAUUAUUCAAAUCUCUCGGGCUUAACCGGGAACAGGGUUUUGAUACUGAUAGACUUCGAGUCUUGGAGGGGUAGCCGGAACUUGCAGUGGAGCGGUGAAAUGCGUUGAGAUUGCAAGGAACACCGAUGGCGUAGGCAGGCUACUGGUCAAGUACUGACGCUGAUGCACGAAAGCUAGGGGAGCGAAAGGGAUUAGAGACCCCUGUAGUCCUAGCCGUAAAUGAUGGACACUAGGUGCUUGGUCUUAGGAUUGAGUGUCGUAAGCUAACGCGUUAAGUGUCCCGCCUGGGGAGUACGGCCGCAAAGGCUA